CCUACGGGCGGCAGCAGUGAGGAAUAUUGGUCAAUGGCCGGAAGGCUGAACCAGCCAAGUCGCGUGAAGGACGAAGGUGCCACGCAUUGUAAACUUCUUUUGUCAAGGGACAAAAUCAGGCUCGAGAGCCUGACCGUGGGUACUUGAUGAAUAAGCAUCGGCUAACUCCGUGCCAGCAGCCGCGGUAAUACGGAGGAUGCGAGCGUUAUCCGGAUUUAUUGGGUUUAAAGGGUGCGUAGGGGGACUGUUAAGUCAGUGGUAAAAGCUUGGGGCUAAACCCCGGCGUGCCGUUGAUACUGGCUGUCUUGAGAAGACGAGAGGUAUGCGGAAUGCGCGGUGUAGCGGUGAAAUGCUUAGAUAUUACGCAGAACUCCGAGUGCGAAGGCAGCAUACCGACGGCGAUCUGACGCUGAGGCACGAAAGCGUGGGUAUCGAACAGGAUUAGAUACCCGAGUAGUC
Molecule: ribosomal RNA, 459 nt
Filed under: uncultured bacterium
Lineage: Bacteria
Description: partial 16S ribosomal RNA
Rfam family: Bacterial small subunit ribosomal RNA
Source: RNAcentral